Molecule: long non-coding RNA, 904 nt
Organism: Homo sapiens (human)
Lineage: Eukaryota; Metazoa; Chordata; Mammalia; Primates; Hominidae
Gene: TLX1NB
Product: TLX1 neighbor
Source: Ensembl
GACCAAGACUCGGAGUAGUUCAUGAAGAGAGAGAAGAGGGGAACAAGGCGAGGCUUAAAAGGAAAAGGGAAAACAGGAAGCGACCAUUCCCAGAGACGGACAGACAGACAAACCCAAGGAGGGUGAAGUCAACUGUCUUCCCGGCCUGUUGGGAGCCCUCCCCUCACUUUGAACUGGGCCAAAGGAGUCCAGCCCACAAGGCGUCUGAGGAAGGGAUGUCUCUGCCCAACUGGAGAAUCUCCUCAAGGGCUCAGCUGCGAAACACCUGUCACUCAACCAGGAGAUUUACUCCAAAUUUCAAGUCCAGCUUUUUAGAAAGUAGAAGACUGUCUACUCCCCAGGUAUGGAGCCCAGGCCCUGAGGCAGGACGAUGAGAAAACCAAGGCACUGAAAGCUGGAAAGGGGCAGACCAGACGCAAACACUGCUUUCUUGACUCCACUCACUACAAGCUGCUUCCUUAAGCCUAAACUUGGCUCUUGCCUCACAGGACUAUCUUGCAGGAACCUAGCAACCCACCUUGCCCCAUCCUGAGGCAGAGGAGGCAGAGAUCACAGACAGCAUUCUCUCCAUUACCUACAGACGGAGAAUUAAAGCGCAGAGAAGCUGCGAGGGACAAUUGUGGUGAUCAUGACAAGACAGCCCUCGGGAUCUGAAUCCACAUCCACCUUGAUGGGUUGAGAGGACUAGAAACCAGAGAACACCCCCAUCUCUAAUGCCGCAAGAGGCCCCUGAUGCAGGAUCUUGCAGGAAUAAGAAGGCUCCAUGGAACGGGACGAGGCAGGAGCAGAGAGGAGCCAUGAUACGUUAACUCUCCCAGUCACCCCACUGAUCAAAACCUUAAGACUUGAGGAUUCUGGUUCCUUGUGCUGGGGGUCUCCAUCUAUCCCCACUCAAGCACAAGAA